AUUUUGAUGUCAGCGCUGAAAAGAAGGCAAUAAAGAAACCUUUUCAGAGGAGCUGAAUGAGAGAACGAAGAAGAAAUGAAUCCCUCUUGGAUGUUGCGACCGGAGAGGCCUUUUUAUUUUCUUUGCUCGGGUAAUCAAAUGGAGCUGAAAUGAAAAUGGAGUUUUCUAUGAAAAUAGGGGCCUUUGUUGGCUUUGGAAGGCUGGUAAUUCAUAAACAAUAAGCUGGCUCCUUUUGUUUGGGUUAUAAUAUAUUCCUGCUGUUCUGAAAGAGGUCCCUCGCUGCACACACAUGCACUCGCACACAUUGCAGCCAGGGUAAAAGCCAAAGUGAGGCAGCAGGGGAAGAGAGAAAGAGGGAGGAUAAAAGGAGGCAGAGAGGCUGACUUUCUAUUCAUCCUCCUGACUGAGAGACGGCAGGAUGCUCAACUCCUCACCUCACUUCCUCCGCUCGGCAACUUUUCCUCUCUGAGCAUUUUGGUUCUUUUAUUCCUACAGGUGAGAAUGGAUCAUUUUUGACAGGUUGUUUUUUCUGAGUGCUUGGAGAGUCCUGAGGGAAGAAGUAAGGACGUGAGGCUGUUGAUGGAUCUUUUUUUUUAAAGGAUGCAGCAUCUGAUUCUUUGGGAAACAAAAAUAUCAACGUGAUUGAAGCAGGAACUGCAAAGCAAACAGAAGAGAGAACUGCACUUCACAUCUUCAAGCGGCAAUUUUUCAACAUCCAUCCAGUGAGGAGCGUGCAUUAAGUGAGAUUUCAAAUCUUCUUGCCUCCUGUGACUGGAAAGUGUCGGGAAAACUUUCCUGAGUUGGAAAAUGCUGAAGAAAGAAGUUCAGGAGUGAUGGGAUGAUGAUAGUUGGUCUUCAUGUUGGAGAGACAGACUGAUGGACAGAGCUUCUUCUUCUUCUCUUAUCCUGAUCAUCUGUCCACGUUGACUGAUCGAGUUGCUCUGCAGUUUUCAUCCUGCGUCUUCCCAUUCCUCUGUCACACAUAAGAAGAACAAGUUACACCAAGACAUCCUGAAGCUGAUAAUCUCACCACCACCAUGUUUGACGAUUUUAACUCUUACUGACUGAAGGAGGAUAUGGAUUCUUCAAGAGAAAACUAAUUUAAUGUGAUCCUCCAUAGUCAGGCUCCCAGGAGGAAACAGGAACACACAGAAUGGAUCAACUCAAGAUUGACUUGGACUUUUUUCAAACUUUUACCAACUAAAUACAUGUUUGUGGACAAAGGAGAGCAUGUUCUUCAACAAUGGUCUAAGAACCUUCUGUCUUUUAAUAGUUUAAAAUUUAGAAAGCUUAGAAAAUGUACAUUUGUUGAAAGAAUUAAGAAGAUAUUAUUUAACCUGCUUAUUAUUAUUAUCAGGAAAGGUGAGUUAAUACAUUAAACAGCAAUGCUCCUUUUUACCCAACUGACUCCAAAAUAUGUUCAAAAAUUAAUUUAAUAUUUAUUUUUGUUAAAACUAGGGCUGUGAGUCCAACAUCAGAAAAACUUUAUUUCUGUUGCUUCUCAAUACUUUUUCAAACCUUGAUGCUGAUGUCAAAUCAUUGUCACCAAACCAGAUUCAUUUUCUAGAUCAAAGAUGGAAAAGUGUUCAUGAACGGGACAUUUUACUGAGAAACUCACUUCAAACUAUUCAUUUGGACUAAUUAUUUUGAGUGUGUUUUGCAAAUAAAUGUUUAUCUCCAUUUAUAUGUUUAACUUUCAACCAAAUAAGCUUUUAUUAACACAUUCCCCUAAUGUUUAGUGGAAAAGUACCACUGCUGGCUUUCAUAACAAUCACUUUCAGUCACAAUCCACCGGCAGCCAGAAAUGAUGGCAGAAAGUGACAGACAGGAGCUAAAACAGGAAUAUGGUGUGACAGAGCUAAAGCCUGUCACAGUGGUGUCCCUUUUUCUGUUCAGGAGUUGCACAAAGCCGUCAGCUCUGAAAGGUCAACCUGCUCUAGACCGCACUGUAAAUGAAGCGACCAGAGUGGCCCUGGAAUCCCAGAUGAAGCUGAUUCUCUUUAUCAUCUGUCAAUUGAUUCUCCUACUAAAUACCUCAACACUGAACACCAGAGACACGUGUGGUAUCCGAGUCUUUCAGAGCAAUCACACAAUGGAGUCCUCUUAACGAGCAACGCGGCAGCUAAGGAG
Poecilia latipinna (sailfin molly) is the source of this 2130-nucleotide long non-coding RNA. RefSeq lists it as uncharacterized. The record is from RefSeq and is a predicted model, not a curated record. NCBI's taxonomy places the organism in Eukaryota, Metazoa, Chordata, Actinopteri, Cyprinodontiformes, Poeciliidae. The transcript is spliced from 5 exons.